Molecule: ribosomal RNA, 253 nt
Filed under: uncultured bacterium
Lineage: Bacteria
Description: partial 16S ribosomal RNA
Rfam family: Bacterial small subunit ribosomal RNA
Source: RNAcentral
UACAGAGGGUGCAAGCGUUAUUCGGAAUUACUGGGCGUAAAGAGCGCGUAGGCGGUCUGAUAAGUCCGAUGUGAAAUCCCUGGACUCAAUCCAGGAAGUGCAUCGGAUACUGUCAGACUCGAGUGCAGGAGGGGAGAGCGGAAUUCCUGGUGUAGCGGUGAAAUGCGUAGAGAUCAGGAAGAACACCGGUGGCGAAAGCGCUCUGCUGGACCUUAACUGACACUGAGGGACGAAAGCUAGGGGAGCGAAUGGG